CCUGAGAAACCCAAAAGAUCGAAUGGGGAGAUUCAUCGUCAGCGAUCUCGGCGGCCGAGCGGUUCGCGAUGCCGCGGGACUCGGUCCCCGCGGCACGCGUUCCGUACGGUUCGUUAAGCCGGGUGUCGUCGGCGUGCACUUCUCCCCUAGUAGGACGUCGCGACCCGUUGGGUGUCGGUCUACGGCCCGGGUGGGCGCCUGUCGCGCGUCACGCUUCGCGGCGUCGCGCGGCAGACCCCCGGCUGCCCGACCAGCUGCCCGGCGGUACUCGCAUGGUAUCGAGCCGCAAAAAUUUUGAACUGCGUCCGGCCCGCCGCAAGCGAGGCCAGUGUUUCCCGGAUGUUACGGACCUGGCGCCGUCACCGGGCCUGGCCAGCUGUUGGUCGGCGGUAUCCUGGGACUGGCUCGCAAAAUGAUACCGGUCGGCGACG
This 431-nucleotide ribosomal RNA is filed under the name Nonnus sp. Its description in RNAcentral is "eukaryotic LSU rRNA". Lineage: Eukaryota; Metazoa; Arthropoda; Insecta; Hymenoptera; Ichneumonidae. The record is from RNAcentral.